This is a small nuclear RNA of Rhinopithecus bieti (black snub-nosed monkey), 141 nucleotides long. Its record names the gene U4. It matches the Rfam family "U4 spliceosomal RNA". From Rfam's summary of the family: U4 small nuclear RNA (U4 snRNA) is a component of the major U2-dependent spliceosome. The structure of U4 snRNA from yeast and human has been reported. U4 snRNA presents a k-turn RNA motif in the 5p-SL related to recognition of Snu13 protein. Lineage: Eukaryota; Metazoa; Chordata; Mammalia; Primates; Cercopithecidae. The record is from Ensembl.
GACUUUGUGCAGUGGCAGUAUAGCAGCCAAUGAGGUUUGUCUGAGGCGCGAUCAUUGAUAAUUGAAAACUAUUCCCAAUACCUCACCAGGAUGAUUUGACAUACCUUUGACACUGGCAAUUUUUGACUUGGCAAAAUAGCC